RNAcentral lists this transfer RNA (73 nucleotides) under Metapseudomonas resinovorans. RNAcentral describes it as "Pseudomonas resinovorans tRNA-Thr". It matches the Rfam family "tRNA". From Rfam's summary of the family: Transfer RNA (tRNA) molecules are approximately 80 nucleotides in length. Their secondary structure includes four short double-helical elements and three loops (D, anti-codon, and T loops). Further hydrogen bonds mediate the characteristic L-shaped molecular structure. tRNAs have two regions of fundamental functional importance: the anti-codon, which is responsible for specific mRNA codon recognition, and the 3' end, to which the tRNAs corresponding amino acid is attached (by aminoacyl-tRNA synthetases). tRNAs cope with the degeneracy of the genetic code in two manners: having more than one tRNA (with a specific anti-codon) for a particular amino acid; and 'wobble' base-pairing, i.e. permitting non-standard base-pairing at the 3rd anti-codon position. Lineage: Bacteria; Pseudomonadati; Pseudomonadota; Gammaproteobacteria; Pseudomonadales; Pseudomonadaceae. The record is from RNAcentral.
GCCGGUAUAGCUCAGUAGGUAGAGCAACUGACUUGUAAUCAGUAGGUCCCGGGUUCGACUCCUGGUGCCGGCA